UACGUAGGUGGCAAGCGUUGUCCGGAAUUACUGGGCGUAAAGGGUGCGUAGGCGGAUAUUUAAGUAGAAAGUGAAAGGUUGGAGCUCAACUCCAACAUUGCUUCCUAUACUGGAUGUCUUGAGUUUCGGAGAGGAAGAUGGAACGACACGUGUAGCGGUGAAAUGCGUUGAUAUGUGUCGGAACACCAAUAGCGAAGGCCGUCUUCUGGACGACUACUGUCGCUGAGGCACGAAAGCCAAGGUAGCGAACCGG
Molecule: ribosomal RNA, 253 nt
Filed under: uncultured bacterium
Lineage: Bacteria
Description: partial 16S ribosomal RNA
Rfam family: Bacterial small subunit ribosomal RNA
Source: RNAcentral